This 253-nucleotide ribosomal RNA is filed under the name uncultured bacterium. RNAcentral's name for it is "partial 16S ribosomal RNA". It matches the Rfam family "Bacterial small subunit ribosomal RNA", at positions 524 to 776 of the family's 1533-position model. The record is from RNAcentral.
UACAGAGGUCCCAAGCGUUGUUCGGAUUCAUUGGGCGUAAGGGGUGCGUAGGUGGCGUCGUAAGUCGGGUGUGAAAUCUCGGGGCUUAACUCCGAAACUGCAUUCGAUACUGCGGUGCUUGAGGACUGGAGAGGAGACUGGAAUUUACGGUGUAGCAGUGAAAUGCGUAGAGAUCGUAAGGAAGACCAGUGGCGAAGGCGGGUCUCUGGACAGUUCCUGACACUGAGGCACGAAGGCCAGGGGAGCAAACGGG